RNAcentral lists this ribosomal RNA (468 nucleotides) under uncultured bacterium. Its description in RNAcentral is "partial 16S ribosomal RNA". It matches the Rfam family "Bacterial small subunit ribosomal RNA", at positions 28 to 507 of the family's 1533-position model. The record is from RNAcentral.
GACGAACGCUGGCGGCGUGCUUAACACAUGCAAGUCGAACGGAAAGGCCCUGCUUUUGUGGGGUGCUCGAGUGGCGAACGGGUGAGUAACACGUGAGUAACCUGCCCUUGACUUUGGGAUAACUUCAGGAAACUGGGGCUAAUACCGGAUAGGAGCUCCUGCUGCAUGGUGGGGGUUGGAAAGUUUCGGCGGUUGGGGCUGGACUCGCGGCUUAUCAGCUUGUUGGUGGGGUAGUGGCUUACCAAGGCUUUGACGGGUAGCCGGCCUGAGAGGGUGACCGGCCACAUUGGGACUGAGAUACGGCCCAGACUCCUACGGGAGGCAGCAGUGGGGAAUAUUGCACAGUGGUCGGAAGCCUGAUGCAGCAACGCCGCGUGCGGGAUGACGGCCUUCGGGUUGUAAACCGCUUUCGCCUGUGACGAAGCGUGAGUGACGGUAAUGGGUAAAGAAGCACCGGCUAACUACGUG